UCGGCCCCUAAGGCGAGGCAGAAAUGCGUAGUCGAUGGGAAGCAUGUUAAUAUUCCUGCACCGACGUGUAAUGCGAUGGGGGGACGGAUCGUGGAAAGUGGUCCAGGUGUUGGAUAUCCUGGUCCCUGCAUCAUAGAGGACAGUUAGGCAAAUCCGGCUGUCAUAUACUCAAGGGUGUGGGGGGAAGUAGCUACGGCUACGAACCCAUUGGAAGUGGUCCCAAGAAAAGCCUCUAAGCUUCAGUUACACGUUGACCGUACCGCAAACCGACACAGGUGGGCGAGAUGAGUAUUCUAAGGCGCUUGAGAGAACUCGGGAGAAGGAACUCGGCAAAUUGACACCGUAACUUCGGAAGAAGGUGUGCCUUUAGUAGGUGAAGUCCCUCGCGGAUGGAGCCCAAUGAGGUUGCAAAAAAUCGGUGGCUGCGACUGUUUAUUAAAAACACAGCACUCUGCAAACACGAAAGUGGACGUAUAGGGUGUGACGCCUGCCCGGUGCUGGAAGAUUAAAUGAUGGGGUGCAAGCUCUUGAUUGAAGUCCCAGUAAACGGCGGCCGUAACUAUAACGGUCCUAAGGUAGCGAAAUUCCUUGUCGGGUAAGUUCCGACCUGCACGAAUGGCGUAACGAUGGCCACACUGUCUCCUCCUGAGACUCAGCGAAGUUGAAAUGUUUGUGAUGAUGCAAUCUCCCCGCGGAAAGACGGAAAGACCCCAUGAACCUUUACUGUAGCUUUGUAUUGGACUUUGAACAGAUCUGUGUAGGAUAGGUGGGAGGCUUUGAAGCGUGGACGCCAGUUCGCGUGGAGCCAACCUUGAAAUACCACCCUGGCAACUUUGAGGUUCUAACUCAGGUCCGUUAUCCGGAUCGAGGACAGUGUAUGGUGGGUAGUUUGACUGGGGCGGUCUCCUCCUAAAGAGUAACGGAGGAGUACGAAGGUGCGCUCAGACCGGUCGGAAAUCGGUCGUAGAGUAUAAAGGCAAAAGCGCGCUUGACUGCGAGACAGACACGUCGAGCAGGUACGAAAGUAGGUCUUAGUGAUCCGGUGGUUCUGUAUGGAAGGGCCAUCGCUCAACGGAUAAAAGGUACUCUGGGGAUAACAGGCUGAUACCGCCCAAGAGUUCAUAUCGACGGCGGUGUUUGGCACCUCGAUGUCGGCUCAUCUCAUCCUGGGGCUGUAGCCGGUCCCAAGGGUAUGGCUGUUCGCCAUUUAAAGAGGUACGCGAGCUGGGUUUAGAACGUCGUGAGACAGUUCGGUCCCUAUCUACCGCGAAAGCAGAAAAUUGAAAGGAUUAAAUUUUAGUACGAGAGGACCAAAUUACGUGAACCUAUGGUGUAUCGGUUAUUUUAUCUAAAGUAUUGCCGAGUAGCUACGUUCAUUAGAGAUAACUGCUGAAUGCAUAUAAGCGGGAAACUUUCCUUAAUACAAAUUUUUUUAAGCUCGUAAAAGAUUAUUACGUCGAUAGGUUUUGAAUGUAAGUACUGCGAGGUAUUCAGUUUAAAAAUACUAAUGAAAUCUCCAUUAUUUUAC
Molecule: ribosomal RNA, 1528 nt
Filed under: Epipyxis sp. PR26KG
Lineage: Eukaryota; Chrysophyceae; Chromulinales; Dinobryaceae
Description: bacterial LSU rRNA
Rfam family: Bacterial large subunit ribosomal RNA
Source: RNAcentral